UUGUGUGUUAACUCAACAGACAAUUUAUUUCACAUACAGACGCAUUUAUGCCUACAAAAUCAUAUUAUUCGUGUCCAAAAUUGAAUCAACAGCUCAACCGUAUACUGUGGAUCCGCGGAGACUCACUAAUUACAGCGUCUAACAGAUGAUAGUAGAUCACGGAACUAGCGCGAAACAACGAUUGUCAUAAAGGACCAUUUGUAAACAAGCACUCAGGUUAACCGGUGUUCUUGCCAACUGACGGUAUCAUGAAUCAUCAGACUUGCACUUUCAUCUGGCAGAACUAACAAAUCCAAUAUACACUCACCAACAAUCCGACAGGGUCCACAAGCUAUUUGUGCCUCCAAUAAUAGUUUUGGCAUCAUAUGAUUCAACCAAGGACCUUCCUGAUUUCUUCAACAAGUUGAGCUCUUCUAGAGGGAUCCAUCUGAAUAAGUGUCCAAAGAAGGAAAUUUCAGAAGAUCAUAAUGGCAUAAAAAGAACGAUUGGAAUUAUAAUCAUUAUUUGAUUAGAUAGUUCUCCAGCCAUAUGUAAUGAAAAAGAAUUUAUAUAAGCAUCAGUAAGCUAAUUACCUUAUCUAGUAACAUGGAAAGACCCUGUGGCAGGGCUUGCAAAUCUGAGCUGGAAUCUGAAAGACUUGAGAGGGAUUGGGAUACUCUUUGAGCCUUAAGAUAUUGAAUAUAAUCCUUGUAGUUUUCAGGGUUAUCCAUCCAAGCAACAAAAGCA
RNAcentral lists this small RNA (726 nucleotides) under Oryza sativa Japonica Group (Japanese rice). RNAcentral describes it as "sRNA Os05g0295500". Lineage: Eukaryota; Viridiplantae; Streptophyta; Magnoliopsida; Poales; Poaceae. The record is from RNAcentral.